GACGAGCGCUGGCGGCGUGCCUAAUACAUGCAAGUCGAACGCUUCUUUCCUCCCGAGUGCUUGCACUCAAUUGGAAAGAGGAGUGGCGGACGGGUGAGUAACACGUGGGUAACCUACCCAUCAGAGGGGGAUAACACUUGGAAACAGGUGCUAAUACCGCAUAACAGUUUAUGCCGCAUGGCAUAAGAGUGAAAGGCGCUUUCGGGUGUCGCUGAUGGAUGGACCCGCGGUGCAUUAGCUAGUUGGUGAGGUAACGGCUCACCAAGGCCACGAUGCAUAGCCGACCUGGGAGGGUGAUCGGCCACCCUGGGACUGAGACACGGCCCAGACUCCUACGGGAGGCAGCAGUAGGGAAUCUUCGGCAAUGGACGGAAGUCUGACCGAGCAACGCCGCGUGAGUGAAGAAGGUUUUCGGAUCGUAAAACUCUGUUGUUAGAGAAGAACAAGGACGUUAGUAACUGAACGUCCCCUGACGGUAUCUAACCAGAAAGCCACGGCUAACUACGUGCCAGCCGCCGCGGUAA
This 524-nucleotide ribosomal RNA is filed under the name uncultured bacterium. Its description in RNAcentral is "partial 16S ribosomal RNA". It matches the Rfam family "Bacterial small subunit ribosomal RNA", at positions 28 to 523 of the family's 1533-position model. The record is from RNAcentral.